CGCGGGGUGGAGCAGCCCGGUAGCUCGUCAGGCUCAUAACCUGAAGGCCGCCUCGUCAGGCUCAUAACCUGAAGGCCGCAGGUUCAAAUCCUGCCCCCGCAACCA
RNAcentral lists this transfer RNA (105 nucleotides) under Cereibacter johrii. RNAcentral describes it as "Rhodobacter johrii tRNA-Met". It matches the Rfam family "tRNA". From Rfam's summary of the family: Transfer RNA (tRNA) molecules are approximately 80 nucleotides in length. Their secondary structure includes four short double-helical elements and three loops (D, anti-codon, and T loops). Lineage: Bacteria; Pseudomonadati; Pseudomonadota; Alphaproteobacteria; Rhodobacterales; Paracoccaceae. The record is from RNAcentral.